AUUGAACGCUGGCGGCAGGCCUAACACAUGCAAGUUGAGCGGUUGAAGUUAGCUUGUGUCUGGACUCAGUGGCGGGCGGGUGAGUAAUUCCUAGGAAUCUGCCCUGCCGUGGGGGAUGACGCCCCGUAACGGGAGCUAUUAUAGCAUCCGAUCAGAGGGUGGAAGUGAGGGAUCAUGGGACCUCACGCUAUCAGAUGAGCCGAGGUCGGAUUAGCUAGUUGGUGGGGUAAAGGCCUACCAAGGCGACGAUCCGUAACUGGUCUGAGAGGAUGAUCAGUCACACUGGAACUGAGACACGGUCCAAACUCCUACGGGAGGCAGCAGUGGGGAAUAUUGGACAAUGGGCGAAGGCCUGAUCCAGCCAUGCCGCGUGUGUGAAAAAGGUCUUCGGAUGGUAAAGCACUUUAGGUUGGGAGAAAGGGCGGUAAGUUAAUACCUUCCUGUAUUGACGGUACCAACAGAGAAAGCGACGGCUAACUACGUG
Molecule: ribosomal RNA, 484 nt
Filed under: uncultured bacterium
Lineage: Bacteria
Description: partial 16S ribosomal RNA
Rfam family: Bacterial small subunit ribosomal RNA
Source: RNAcentral